UAACACGUAAGCAACCUGCCUAUCAGAGGGGAACAACAGUUAGAAAUGACUGCUAAUACCGCAUAUGCCUUAGAAUCACAUGGUUCAAAAGGGAAAGGAGCAAUCCGCUGAUAGAUGGGCUUGCGUCUGAUUAGCUAGUUGGUGGGGUAACGGCCUACCAAGGCGACGAUCAGUAGCCGAACUGAGAGGUUGAACGGCCACAUUGGGACUGAGAUACGGCCCAGACUCCUACGGGAGGCAGCAGUCGGGAAUAUUGCGCAAUGGAGGAAACUCUGACGCAGUGACGCCGCGUGCAGGAAGAAGGUUUUCGGAUUGUAAACUGCUUUAGACAGGGAAGAACAAAGACAG
This 348-nucleotide ribosomal RNA is filed under the name uncultured bacterium. Its description in RNAcentral is "bacterial SSU rRNA". It matches the Rfam family "Bacterial small subunit ribosomal RNA", at positions 111 to 458 of the family's 1533-position model. The record is from RNAcentral.